CCUCUCCAUCUUCACCGCCAUCUCCAACUUCACCUCCGCCGCCUCCUUCACCUCCACCGCCACCUUUCAACUGCAACCUCCAUGAACGUCCACCCACCUCCACCAUCCCCUCCACCUUCUCCUCCUAUACCUCUCCACCUUUGUCACCUCCUCCACCUCCGUUGUCUUCAUUUCCGCCGCUUUUACUGCCAAUUUAAAGUCAUUGCGAUUUUAUUUAUAUAUCAGAUCUCUUUUAAGCAAAUAUUUUACAAAUUUAUCGAAUUCCAUAUUUCAUUUCACUUUUACAAUUUUGUAAUUUUUUAUUUCAUUUUUAUGGUAUAUAGUUAUGUACUUUCAUUAUGUCAUGUACUCACUCGCAAUCCCACCGGUCAUGUUCAAUCUUAAUCAAGUGUCAUCUCCUUUUACCCUCUCUUUCUCUCCUUUCACUCUCUUUGCUUAAUCGAGCAUCUCACGAAUUCACAUCUUUCGUUAGCUUCAACAUGUAAUCCUCCACCCUCCAAACCCAACUCUCCGACAUGACUAAACUCGUCCCCGUUGGCAAUUUACGGUGGUGCAAAACUCUGGCUAUCCCAUCUAAUUCAUCUUUUUAGGAUGUUGAAUAAUCUAUGACGACAGGGGCGCUGCUGCGUGGACUCACACAGGUGAAGUUGUUACUCUGCAUCUACAAAUCCACAUUGUUUACAAUCAACUCAUUAAAUGAGUGGAUUAUUAAGUCAAAUCUCAAAAUAUAAACUACAAUUAAAUGGUUGAUAACGGUUGAUUUCAUGGUUGAUUUAUUGAUAUUAUUACUAGCCCCGCAUGGGCACUCAUUUUAGCAUUUGCAACUGUUUGCAACUUAUUUUGCAAUUAAAUGUAAUUUUAAACCGAUUUUUUCAAAUUUGCAUUUGUGGUUGCAUUACAUAUAUGACUACUAGCAGUUGCAAAUAUGGUUGCAUAUGCAACAUCCGUAUUUUUGCAAAUAUUUUUUGGAACAUAGUAUUUUUAUAAUUUAUAUUAAAAGUGACAGUAUUUUUGCAAACAUUCUUUUAAACAUGAAUAUUAAUGAAAAAUAUUAUGUAUUAUAUAUUGUCUUACUUUAUAGUUAAAAGUCAU
This 1092-nucleotide long non-coding RNA is filed under the name Daucus carota (carrot). Its description in RNAcentral is "long non-coding RNA (DCAR_LNC002406)". The record is from RNAcentral. Lineage: Eukaryota; Viridiplantae; Streptophyta; Magnoliopsida; Apiales; Apiaceae.